Molecule: ribosomal RNA, 427 nt
Filed under: uncultured bacterium
Lineage: Bacteria
Description: partial 16S ribosomal RNA
Rfam family: Bacterial small subunit ribosomal RNA
Source: RNAcentral
UGGGGAAUAUUGGACAAUGGGCGAAAGCCUGAUCCAGCCAUGCCGCGUGUGUGAAGAAGGUCUUCGGAUUGUAAAGCACUUUAAGUUGGGAGGAAGGGCAUUAACCUAAUACGUUAGUGUUUUGAUGUUACCGACAGAAUAAGCACCGGCUAACUCUGUGCCAGCAGCCGCGGUAAUACAGAGGGUGCAAGCGUUAAUCGGAAUUACUGGGCGUAAAGCGCGCGUAGGUGGUUUGUUAAGUUGGAUGUGAAAUCCCCGGGCUCAACCUGGGAACUGCAUUCAAAACUGACUGACUAGAGUAUGGUAGAGGGUGGUGGAAUUUCCUGUGUAGCGGUGAAAUGCGUAGAUAUAGGAAGGAACACCAGUGGCGAAGGCGACCACCUGGACUAAUACUGACACUGAGGUGCGAAAGCGUGGGGAGCAAACA